Molecule: transfer RNA, 67 nt
Filed under: Chiroteuthis picteti
Lineage: Eukaryota; Metazoa; Mollusca; Cephalopoda; Oegopsida; Chiroteuthidae
Description: tRNA-Ala
Rfam family: tRNA
About the family: Transfer RNA (tRNA) molecules are approximately 80 nucleotides in length. Their secondary structure includes four short double-helical elements and three loops (D, anti-codon, and T loops). Further hydrogen bonds mediate the characteristic L-shaped molecular structure. tRNAs have two regions of fundamental functional importance: the anti-codon, which is responsible for specific mRNA codon recognition, and the 3' end, to which the tRNAs corresponding amino acid is attached (by aminoacyl-tRNA synthetases). tRNAs cope with the degeneracy of the genetic code in two manners: having more than one tRNA (with a specific anti-codon) for a particular amino acid; and 'wobble' base-pairing, i.e. permitting non-standard base-pairing at the 3rd anti-codon position.
Source: RNAcentral
GGUAUUAUACUUUAUUGUUAGAAGAUAUGAUUUGCAAUCAUAAAGAAAGAUUACAUCUUUAAUACCA